Molecule: ribosomal RNA, 642 nt
Filed under: uncultured bacterium
Lineage: Bacteria
Description: bacterial SSU rRNA
Rfam family: Bacterial small subunit ribosomal RNA
Source: RNAcentral
CGCGGCCUAUCAGCUUGUUGGUGAGGUAAUGGCUCACCAAGGCGACGACGGGUAGCCGGCCUGAGAGGGCGACCGGCCACACUGGGACUGAGACACGGCCCAGACUCCUACGGGAGGCAGCAGUGGGGAAUAUUGCACAAUGGGCGAAAGCCUGAUGCAGCGACGCCGCGUGAGGGAUGACGGCCUUCGGGUUGUAAACCUCUUUCAGCAGGGAAGAAGCGAAAGUGACGGUACCUGCAGAAGAAGCGCCGGCUAACUACGUGCCAGCAGCCGCGGUAAUACGUAGGGCGCAAGCGUUGUCCGGAAUUAUUGGGCGUAAAGAGCUCGUAGGCGGUCUGUCGCGUCGGAUGUGAAAGCCCGGGGCUUAACCCCGGGUCUGCAUUCGAUACGGGCAGACUAGAGUGUGGUAGGGGAGAUCGGAAUUCCUGGUGUAGCGGUGAAAUGCGCAGAUAUCAGGAGGAACACCGGUGGCGAAGGCGGAUCUCUGGGCCAUUACUGACGCUGAGGAGCGAAAGCGUGGGGAGCGAACAGGAUUAGAUACCCUGGUAGUCCACGCCGUAAACGUUGGGCGCUAGGUGUGGGUCCCUUCCACGGGGUCUGUGCCGCAGCUAACGCAUUAAGCGCCCCGCCUGGGGAGUACGG